This 128-nucleotide microRNA precursor is filed under the name Marmota monax (woodchuck). The record is from RNAcentral. Lineage: Eukaryota; Metazoa; Chordata; Mammalia; Rodentia; Sciuridae.
ACCAGAAUCAUUUGGAGAACUUAUUAAAACUCACAUUGCUGAAUCCCACCCCCAGAAUUUCUGGCUCAGUAGGUCCGGAGUAGGAACCAAGAAUUUGCAUUUCUAACAAGUUCCCAGAUGAUGAAGCU